RNAcentral lists this small RNA (1269 nucleotides) under Malus domestica (apple). Its description in RNAcentral is "sRNA MD09G0204700". Lineage: Eukaryota; Viridiplantae; Streptophyta; Magnoliopsida; Rosales; Rosaceae. The record is from RNAcentral.
AUGCCAGGAGGUGGUGAGAAGUGCGGUCUGAGAAGCAGCAAGGCUCGAGGAGGAAUGAGGGUUUUGCAAGUCAAAAGCGAGGAUCUUAAAAUGAAGUUCCUCAAAGAUGGGUAGGGGUGUGAUGUUGAUGAUGGCAGUAUGGAGAAUAGAGUAGUCAAGGCCAAGACCACGAAUGACUGUGGUGAUGAAAUAUUCAAGAUCCACAAGGUGACCAAUACUGGUGAGUUUAUUAGCCAAUGUUUUAGCUUGCUGUAGGUAUUCAAGCAUAGGGGUGGACCUCUUGGUUAAAUCAAGAAGUUGGUAGCAGAGAGUGGCAAAGUUGGUGACAGACGGCUGAGCAAAAGCGGCGUUGAAGACACUCCUAAAGAGCCUGAGCCGAGUCAUAACCCACAGUGAGAGCAAGGAUAGGUUCAGUAAGGGUGGAAGUGAUAUAGCUAACCACCAAUUGGUCUUGUUGGAACCAUUUGAGAUAGUCGAGAUUCGAGGUUGUGGAUGAGGUGAUUGUAGCAGUAGCAGAGGAACCAUCCGAGUCAGAAGUAGGGGUGGGUGGUACAGUAAUGGUGGGAGGAGGUUGGGGAAAGAAGCCAUCGACAAACUUCUAGAGGUUGUGACCAAUAAGAAACAUCUUGAUUUGACGAAGCCAGGUGAGGUAAUUUGAGUCAGUGAGUUUAAGAAAUUGGGCUACGUUCGGUCCGAGAAAAGAGGAAGAAGCAGGGGUUGACAUGGAUAUGAAGAGGGUCAGGAUCGAAGAAGGGAUGAUACCAUGUAGAAUUCUAAAUUAAGUCACUGCCUCUGCAUCACCUUUGGUACCUACUCAACCAUCUCUACAACUAUGGCGCAUAGAUUCUGGUACAACUAGCCACAUGAUUGCUGAUUUGAACAAUUGUCAUUGGCAACUCCAUUUCCAUCAAAUGAAAUGAUUUAGACAACAAGUGGACAAAGCCAUAAGGAGAAUACAGUCCAAUGGUCUCUGCAAUAAUGGAUUGUACCCUUAUCUCUUUUUCUAUACCUUUAUCUCAUUCACAGAAAGCUUUUUAGGCUAUUGCAUACCUUGGCAAUUGAGUAACCUCUAGUCUUUGGCAUAGCAGAUUAGACCACCUUUCUAAUCUUGUUGUUUCUCUAAUGCUUAAAAAGACCAAUAAUACCCCAAUAAUACCUAUUGUUCUUGAUUCUUCACCUACGUUGUGCUUUACUUGUAUAGAGAAUAAAAUUAGCAAAUUACCAUUCCCUUCUGCUAUGGAUACGUCUAUUACACCAUUUGAGGUUGUG